This 258-nucleotide long non-coding RNA is filed under the name Elaeis guineensis (African oil palm). RNAcentral's name for it is "long non-coding RNA (EGUI_LNC004437)". The record is from RNAcentral. Lineage: Eukaryota; Viridiplantae; Streptophyta; Magnoliopsida; Arecales; Arecaceae.
AAUCAAGCAUAUGAUCUGGUCCAUAACAUCAGACCCCCAAGCGCAAAUCUUCCUCCAAAUGAAAGAGCUUCCUCGGGCGGCAUGGAUAGGGGUCCCAUGGCUCCACCCAUCAUAGUGGGCCCUUAUCACCCUACUCCAUAAAUAGUCUGGUUGGAUCAGGAAUCUAGCCACAUGCCUCACAAUCAAAGCCUCCCUCCUUGUCAAUAAGGAGUAGAUCUCCAGACCACCAUUCUGCACUGGCUGGCACACCACCGCCCA